RNAcentral lists this ribosomal RNA (253 nucleotides) under uncultured bacterium. Its description in RNAcentral is "partial 16S ribosomal RNA". It matches the Rfam family "Bacterial small subunit ribosomal RNA", at positions 524 to 776 of the family's 1533-position model. The record is from RNAcentral.
UACAGAGGUCUCAAGCGUUGUUCGGAUUCAUUGGGCGUAAAGCGCACGUAGGCGGCUCCGCAAGUCGGAUGUGAAAUCCCUCGGCUCAACCGAGGACGUGCAUCCGAAACUGCAGAGCUUGAGUAUGGAAGAGGGUCGCGGAAUCCCCGGUGUAGAGGUGAAAUUCGUAGAUAUCGGGGGGAACACCAGUGGCGAAGGCGGCGACCUGGGCCAAUACUGACGCUGAGGUGCGAAAGCGUGGGGAGCAAACAGG